RNAcentral lists this small nucleolar RNA (105 nucleotides) under Chinchilla lanigera (long-tailed chinchilla). RNAcentral's name for it is "Small nucleolar RNA SNORD23 (ENSCLAG00000019009.1)". It matches the Rfam family "Small nucleolar RNA SNORD23". Rfam says of the family: The members of this family belong to the C/D class of snoRNAs which contain the C (UGAUGA) and D (CUGA) box motifs. The record is from Rfam by way of RNAcentral. Lineage: Eukaryota; Metazoa; Chordata; Mammalia; Rodentia; Chinchillidae.
UGCCCAGUGAUGACUCCAUCCUUGCUCCCCGUGCCCCCAGGGGCUGUGGGCGACACCUUGGUGCCCUGGGCUGGCCUGGUGAGGCCUUGCCUGGGGCUGAGGGCA